RNAcentral lists this ribosomal RNA (253 nucleotides) under uncultured bacterium. Its description in RNAcentral is "partial 16S ribosomal RNA". It matches the Rfam family "Bacterial small subunit ribosomal RNA", at positions 524 to 776 of the family's 1533-position model. The record is from RNAcentral.
GACGAACUGCCCAAACGUUGUUCGGAAUCACUGGGCUUAAAGGGCGCGUAGGCGGCGAAUCAAGUCAGGGGUGAAAUCCGGCAGCUUAACUGUCGAAGUGCCUUUGAUACUGGUUUGCUCGAGGGAGAUAGGGGUCUGUGGAACUUCUGGUGGAGUGGUGAAAUGCGUUGAUAUCGGGAGGAACACCAGUGGCGAAGGCGGCGACCUGGGCCAAUAUUGACGCUGAGGUGCGAAAGCGUGGGGAGCAAACAGG